Molecule: long non-coding RNA, 1795 nt
Organism: Erinaceus europaeus (western European hedgehog)
Lineage: Eukaryota; Metazoa; Chordata; Mammalia; Eulipotyphla; Erinaceidae
Exons: 3
Source: RefSeq, a predicted model, not a curated record
GAGGAGACAGUGUUUGCUCAGAGCAGGCGCUACUGACAGAGCUGGCUUCUUCCUCCCUCAAGGAUCUUCCUCCUUGAAUUCAUGUAGAGACAGUUGCGGUUUAAACAGAACCUGACACACUUGGUGAACAAACAGUGGGUGAGGGGUGCUUAGGUCUGGCUCCUGCUGUGUUCUGCUGAUGUGAGGUUGUGAACAUGGAAGGCGGGUCUAACCCCCAUCGCUUGCUUCACAGACUGCUCCCUUCCGGGCUCAAAAAUGCUAACCUCCAAUUGCUGCAUGCAUGUCAUGGUAUAAGCUGGGAAACAAGAAAUGACUCGCUAGGACUGUAAAGCCAACUUCCAGGAGAUGUGAGAGUCCGUAUAUAUUUAGGAGUUUUCUGUGGGGGAACCACUGGUGUCUACGAGGGCUAGAUGUGGAGUCAGAUGUGGAGGGCUAGAUGUGGGCAGAGUCAGUAGAAGAACAUGCAGUGACAGAAGAUGGCGGGAAAUCUUGCUCAGGGCGCGUGUUCUCAGCCUGGCAACGAGGAAAAAGGAGACGAGGAGGCCAGAGGUCACAAAGGGGCCCCCUGUGCAGACCCCACUGUUUAGUUCUCUGUCUAGCCAGACAUGUAUGUGACUGGGGCUCUUUCUGUCCAAAGGUGUGCGCGAGGCUCUGCCUGGUUCCAAUGGAAGCCUAAAGGGUAGACCAACGGGGGGGGGGGGGGGGCUGUCACACCUCUAAUCCUCAGGCCUCAGGCGGAGAAUACUUUUUCUUUUCUGCUUCCUGAAUCCUUGGGAGUUUGCCUCCAUUUUGGCAAGAAGGAGAAGGGGCCAGAGUUAUGCCAAGCUCUAUUUGAUUAUGGGUCUUACUUAGUACUUGUUUCCUGAAGAAUCCAGAGGAGGUAUGGAGGCAGGAGGCUGGGAUGGAGAACCAGGGUGUGAGGUAAACAGUCCCAGAAACAGUUUCCGGUCACUGUGUGGACUGCAGGGGAAUUGGGGCAGGUGGCUGACGUGAAAUGGUCACUGUCAUAGCAUCUUGGUGCUGUAAGGUGAAUUAAAACAAGAAAGGGUUUGCAGGAGUCGGGUGGUAGCGCAGCGUGUUAGGUGCACGUGGCCCAAAGUAUAAGCACCAGCAUAAGGAUCCUGGUUCGAGCCCCUGGCUCCCCACCUGCAGGGGGGUCACUUCACAAGCGGUGAAGCAGGUCUGCAGGUGUCUGUCUUUCUCUCUCUCGCUGUCUUCCCCUCCUCUCUCCAUUUCUCUCUGUCCUAUCCAACAACAACGACAUUAAUAACCACAGCAAUGUUAAACAAGGGCAACAAAAAAAUAAUAAAUAUAACAACAACAACAACAACAAUAACUACAACAACAAUAAAAAUAAGAGCAACAAAAGGAAAAUAAAUAAAUAUGAAAAAAUAAAAUUAAAAUAAAAUAAACUCAUAUUUAAAAAAAAAAAACAAGAGGUUGCUACAUAGGGAUGAGCAUAUUGCCUUCUUAGCCUACAUAAGAAGAUUCCAAACCAAGACUGUUGCUAGUCUAACAAUUCAAGAUUAAAAACACGGGAGUCAGGUGGUGGCGCAUUGGGUUAAGCGCAUGUGGUGUGAAGCUCAAGGACUGGCAGAAGGAUUCUGGUUUGAGACCUCGGAUCCCGGUUCAAGACCCUGGCUCCCCACCUGCAGGGGGUCGCUUCACAGGCAGUGAAGCAGGUCUGCAGGUGUCUGUCUUUCUCUCCCCCUCUCUGUCUUCCCCAUCUCUCUCUAUUUUUCUCUGUCUUAUCCAACAAUGACGACACCAAUAACUACAACAAUAAAAUAACAAG